This 118-nucleotide ribosomal RNA is filed under the name Lepisosteus oculatus (spotted gar). Lineage: Eukaryota; Metazoa; Chordata; Actinopteri; Semionotiformes; Lepisosteidae. The record is from RNAcentral.
GCAAGCAGCUGUAUCACCCUGUAACUCACAACUAGUAGCCCACUGAAGCUCAGCAGGUGUGAGCCUGGCCAGUACAUGGAUGGGAGACCUCCUGGGAAACCUAAGGUUGCUGUUGGAA